GAUGAAGAACGCAGCGAAAUGCGAUAAGUAAUGUGAAUUGCAGAAUUCAGUGAAUCAUCGAAUCUUUGAACGCACAUUGCGCCCGCCAGUAUUCUGGCGAGCAUGCCUGUUCGAGCGUCAUUUCAACCAUCAAGCCCCAGGCUUGUGUUGGAGCCCUGCGGCUGCCGCAGCCUCCCAAAACCAGUGGCGGGCUCGCUAUCACACCGAGUGCAGUAGUUUACUCUUCGCUCAGGGCGUGUGGCGGGUGCUAGCCGUGAAACCCCCAACUUCUCAAGGUUGACCUCGGAUCUGGUAGGAAUACCCGCUGAACUUAAGCAUAUCAAUAAGCGGAGGA
This 334-nucleotide unclassified non-coding RNA is filed under the name soil metagenome. RNAcentral's name for it is "partial contains 5.8S ribosomal RNA, internal transcribed spacer 2, and large subunit ribosomal RNA". The stretch from base 1 to 120 matches the Rfam family "5.8S ribosomal RNA", at positions 35 to 154 of the family's 154-position model. The record is from RNAcentral.